This 197-nucleotide ribosomal RNA is filed under the name uncultured Klebsiella sp. RNAcentral's name for it is "partial 16S ribosomal RNA". It matches the Rfam family "Bacterial small subunit ribosomal RNA", at positions 335 to 524 of the family's 1533-position model. The record is from RNAcentral. Lineage: Bacteria; Pseudomonadati; Pseudomonadota; Gammaproteobacteria; Enterobacterales; Enterobacteriaceae.
ACUCCUACGGGAGGCAGCAGUGGGGAAUAUUGCACAAUGGGCGCAAGCCUGAUGCAGCCAUGCCGCGUGUAUGAAGAAGGCCUUCGGGUUGUAAAGUACUUUCAGCGGGGAGGAAGGUGAUAAGGUUAAUAACCUUGUCGAUUGACGUUACCCGCAGAAGAAGCACCGGCUAACUCCGUGCCAGCAGCCGCGGUAAU